RNAcentral lists this long non-coding RNA (416 nucleotides) under Physcomitrium patens. Its description in RNAcentral is "long non-coding RNA (PPAT_LNC010081)". Lineage: Eukaryota; Viridiplantae; Streptophyta; Bryopsida; Funariales; Funariaceae. The record is from RNAcentral.
GAGUGAGAAAGGGAGGGAAGGAUGGGGGGGGGGUGUUGCCUGCAUGCACAUGUGAGUGUGACCCUGUAAAGUGGGCCCCAUGUGUUACAGAGUGCAUGCUUCACCAUGUGGUGUGGCGUGGGUGUGGUGUGGUCAUUUUGUGCACUGUAGUGAUCUUCCACUCCUCUCCCCCCCCCCUUCUUGGGGAGUGAGUCUCCCUUCCUUUCCUUCCUUGAAUUCUGGAAUGCACCAUUCGACACCUGAAGUCAUCCACCUCUCCUUCCUCCUCUCUUGCCACCCACUUGCCUUGUGUCUUCCAAUUCCCUUCUUUCUUUCUUUCUUUACUUUUCUUUUUGAUGAGGAGAAUGGUGAUGAUUAGGGUACAAAUCCCCUUCCUUGCCUUGCCUUUGCUUGUUGUUUGUUUGUUUGUUUCAUUC